ACGGCGAGUGAAGCGGGAAGAGCUCAUGUUGUAAAUCUGGAUGAGGAUUCCUCGUCCCGAAUUGUAGUCUAGAGAUGCGUGCUCAGCUACUCUCCAGGGCUAAGUCUGUUUGUGAAAGACAGCAUCAUGGACGGUGAUAAUCCGGUUCUUGCCUUGGAUGUUGUAGCGUCUUGAGCCGUCCUCAACGAGUCGAGUUGCUUGGGAUUGCAGCUCUAAGCGGGUGGUAAAUUCCAUCUAAAGCUAAAUAUUGGUGGGAGACCGAUAGCGAACAAGUACCGUGAGGGAAAGAUGAAAAGAACUUUGAAAAGAGAGUUAAAUAGUACCUGAAACUGCUGAAAGGGAAGCGAAUGAAGUCAGUGUUGCUCUUUGUUCUCUGCAUCCUCCCUGCGGGGAUUGUGUAUCGAGGACUUUGACCUUGUCAGGAUGAGUUCUCUGCCGCGGGAUAUGGUUUGUGAGCUGGAUGCUUCUGCUGAACUCACUCUCUCUGUCGUGGCUUGGACUGAGGUUCCAUCUUGCCGUUGCCUGCUUGUUACUCUCCUGUUGCUGUUUCUGUCCUACUGCUUGCAGUGUUCGGUUGCAGUGAUUGGACUGUGCAAGUUAUGCAUGC
This 607-nucleotide ribosomal RNA is filed under the name Chattonella marina var. antiqua. RNAcentral describes it as "eukaryotic LSU rRNA". It matches the Rfam family "Eukaryotic large subunit ribosomal RNA", at positions 86 to 618 of the family's 3401-position model. The record is from RNAcentral. Lineage: Eukaryota; Raphidophyceae; Chattonellales; Chattonellaceae.